Molecule: ribosomal RNA, 253 nt
Filed under: uncultured bacterium
Lineage: Bacteria
Description: partial 16S ribosomal RNA
Rfam family: Bacterial small subunit ribosomal RNA
Source: RNAcentral
UACAGAGGGUGCAAACGUUGUUCGGAUUUACUGGGCGUAAAGCGUGUGUAGGCGGCUUGGCAAGUUGGAUGUGAAAGCCCACGGCUCAACCGUGGAAGCGCAUCCAAAACUGCUUCGCUCGAGUCUCGGAGAGGAAGGUGGAAUGCUUGGUGUAGAGGUGAAAUUCGUAGAUAUCAAGCAGAACACCUGCGGCGAAGGCGGCCUUCUGGACGAUGACUGACGCUGAGACGCGAAAGCGUGGGGAGCAAACAGG